Molecule: long non-coding RNA, 480 nt
Filed under: Daphnia pulicaria
Lineage: Eukaryota; Metazoa; Arthropoda; Branchiopoda; Diplostraca; Daphniidae
Description: uncharacterized LOC124350342, transcript variant X1
Source: RNAcentral
AAACGUCAGAAAUUUCGUUCGUUCACCUUGAUCGUUCGUGGCAAUAGAUUUAACCUUGGUUAUAGACAAGUUGGUCAUGGGAUUUUAUUUCUACAUGUGCUAGGAAGUGAAAGAAACUGAAUCAGUAAAUGCGAAAAUGCCGUUUCUCAAUAAGUUUUCUCUUGUUUCUCGGUUGCCCACCUGGGCUGUUCCUGUACGUUGGUCACUUCACGCGUGAAGAUUUGGAUUUUUCUUCAUUUAAACAGGAGGAAACGUAAAAAAGUCGUGCAGCUUAACUGUCAACUAUUUUGUUCAAAAUCAUUGUAUUUUACUGAAUGUGCCAUCAAAAUGAUACAGGAUUCAACAUAAUUAUCUGCUGUGUGUAUUGGACUUGGUAGAUCACCAACCCCAGCAUGGAACAAUCUCUCAUUCCAUCAUCUAGAGAACCUUAUCAUCUGGAUAACUGAUUAGUGUUUUCAUGUACGUCAAGCACAUUGAGGA